RNAcentral lists this ribosomal RNA (274 nucleotides) under uncultured bacterium. Its description in RNAcentral is "partial 16S ribosomal RNA". It matches the Rfam family "Bacterial small subunit ribosomal RNA", at positions 523 to 796 of the family's 1533-position model. The record is from RNAcentral.
AUACGGAGGGUGCAAGCGUUAAGCGGAAUUACUGGGCGUAAAGCGUACGUAGGCGGUUAUUUAAGUCAGAUGUGAAAGCCCCGGGCUUAACUUGGGAACUGCAUUUGAAACUGGGUAACUAGAGUUUAGUAGAGGGGAGUGGAAUUUCAGGUGUAGCGGUGAAAUGCGUAGAGAUCUGAAGGAACACCAGUGGCGAAGGCGACUCCCUGGACUACAACUGACGCUGAGGUACGAAAGCGUGGGUAGCAAACAGGAUUAGAAACCCCAGUAGUCC